This 244-nucleotide unclassified non-coding RNA is filed under the name Hevea brasiliensis (rubber tree). Lineage: Eukaryota; Viridiplantae; Streptophyta; Magnoliopsida; Malpighiales; Euphorbiaceae. The record is from RNAcentral.
UUCGUCUCUGUUGGAGAGUUCCAGUAGUAGCCGCAGUGGCUUGAGAAGAGUCGGUUCAAAUGUGUCGUCAUCUCCUUCGGCGCGCUCGCCUUCGGCCUCAAGCGGCUUUAAGUCAGCGUCUCUGUCAGCGUCGAUGGAUAGGGGUUCUUCUCUGACUAGUCGGAGGAAGAAUUCAAUGGACAGUCGUGAUUCUCGCUUCAUUAUGCUGCCACAUGUUGAUGUCAAAGCCGGGGAUGACUUGAGG